AAAUGCGAUAAGUAGUGUGAAUUGCAGAAUUCAGUGAAUCAUCGAAUCUUUGAACGCACAUUGCGCCCUUUGGUAUUCCUUAGGGCAUGCCUGUUCGAGCGUCAUUUAAACCUUCAAGCUCAGCUUGGUGAUGGGUGACUGUCCCCUCCUCGCGGGGGGACUCGCCUCAAAAACAUUGGCGGCCGGUACAUUGGCUUCGAGCGCAGCAGAAACGCGGUCUCGAGCCCGGUGGAUCGGCUCCCACAAGCCUAUUCUUUUAUUUUGACCUCGGAUCAGGUAGGGAUACCCGCUGAACUUAAGC
This 301-nucleotide unclassified non-coding RNA is filed under the name plant metagenome. RNAcentral describes it as "partial contains 5.8S ribosomal RNA, internal transcribed spacer 2, and large subunit ribosomal RNA". The stretch from base 1 to 104 matches the Rfam family "5.8S ribosomal RNA", at positions 51 to 154 of the family's 154-position model. The record is from RNAcentral.